AUUGAACGCUGUCGGCAUGCCUUACACAUGCAAGUCGAACGGCAGCACGGGAGCAAUCCUGGUGGCGAGUGGCGAACGGGUGAGUAAAGUAUCGGAACGUGCCCAGUCGUGGGGGAUAACGUAGCGAACGUUACGUUAAUACUGCAUACGAUCUAUGGAUGAAAGCGGGGGAUCGCAAGACCUCGCGCGAUUGGACCGGCCGACGUCGGAUUAGGUUGUUGGUGGGGUAAAGGCUAACCAAGCCGACGAUCUGUAGCUGGUCUGAGAGGACGACCAGCCACACGGGGACUGAGACACGGCCCAGACUCCUACGGGAGGCAGCAGUGGGGAAUUGUGGACAAUGGGCGCAAGCCUGAUCCAGCCAUGCCGCGUGCAGGAUGAAGGCCUUCGGGUUGUAAACUGCUUUUGUACGGAACGAAAAGGUUUGGCUUAAUACGUUGAACUCAUGACGGUACCGUAAGAAUAAGCACCAGCUAACUCUGUGCCAGCCGCCGCCGUAA
RNAcentral lists this ribosomal RNA (500 nucleotides) under uncultured bacterium. Its description in RNAcentral is "partial 16S ribosomal RNA". It matches the Rfam family "Bacterial small subunit ribosomal RNA", at positions 30 to 523 of the family's 1533-position model. The record is from RNAcentral.